RNAcentral lists this small nuclear RNA (22 nucleotides) under Arabidopsis thaliana (thale cress). RNAcentral's name for it is "snRNA_02962". The record is from RNAcentral. Lineage: Eukaryota; Viridiplantae; Streptophyta; Magnoliopsida; Brassicales; Brassicaceae.
AAUGAAAAAAACCCUCAACUUU